RNAcentral lists this small RNA (1623 nucleotides) under Pan troglodytes (chimpanzee). Its description in RNAcentral is "processed transcript". Lineage: Eukaryota; Metazoa; Chordata; Mammalia; Primates; Hominidae. The record is from RNAcentral.
GGCGCCGUGUGACUUCGGGCUGUGGGCUCGCUCGCGGCUCUUCGGCCAUGGUUUUCUCAAACAAUGAUGAAGGCCUUAUUAACAAAAAGUUACCCAAAGAACUUCUGUUAAGGACCUUUGCACAGAACUGCCGAAACAUUGAACAUUUGAACCUCAAUGGAUGCACAAAAAUCACUGACAGCACGUGUUAUAGCCUUAGCAGAUUCUGUUCCAAGCUGAAACAUCUGGAUCUGACCUCCUGUGUGUCUAUUACAAACAGCUCCUUGAAGGGGAUCAGUGAGGGCUGCCGAAACCUGGAGUACCUGAACCUCUCUUGGUGUGAUCAGAUCACGAAGGAUGGCAUCGAGGCACUGGUGCGAGGUUGUCGAGGCCUGAAAGCCCUGCUCCUGAGGGGCUGCACACAGUUAGAAGAUGAAGCUCUGAAACACAUUCAGAAUUACUGCCAUGAGCUUGUGAGCCUCAACUUGCAGUCCUGCUCACGUAUCACGGAUGAAGGUGUGGUGCAGAUAUGCAGGGGCUGUCACCGGCUACAGGCUCUCUGCCUUUCGGGUUGCAGCAACCUCACAGAUGCCUCUCUUACAGCCCUGGGUUUGAACUGUCCGCGACUGCAAAUUUUGGAGGCUGCCCGAUGCUCCCAUUUGACUGACGCAGGUUUUACACUUUUAGCUCGGAAUUGCCACGAAUUGGAGAAGAUGGAUCUUGAAGAAUGCAUCCUGAUAACCGACAGCACACUCAUCCAGCUCUCCAUUCACUGUCCUAAACUGCAAGCCCUGAGCCUGUCCCACUGUGAACUCAUCACAGAUGAUGGGAUCCUGCACCUGAGCAACAGUACCUGUGGCCAUGAGAGGCUGCGGGUACUGGAGUUGGACAACUGCCUCCUCAUCACUGAUGUGGCCCUGGAACACCUAGAGAACUGCCGAGGCCUGGAGCGCCUCGAGCUGUACGACUGCCAGCAGGUUACCCGUGCAGGCAUCAAGCGGAUGCGGGCUCAGCUCCCUCAUGUCAAAGUCCACGCCUACUUUGCUCCCGUCACCCCACCGACAGCAGUGGCAGGAAGUGGACAGCGACUGUGCAGGUGCUGUGUCAUUCUCUGACAGCAGCUGCCUGGGCCCAAGGGGUGAUGAGGCAUCCUUUCCUCUAGAAGACCUGAGUCUUCCUGACCGACUCCACCAUCACCCAAUCUGUUGAUUCUCCAUUGGGAAAGGCAUUUACAGUUUCCCAACAGGCACCUAUCAAGAUUUAAGAAUGGCGAAGACAAGAAAGGAUUUAUAAGCAACAUCUGACAUCACAUGGUGACCUGAAACAUGGCUCUGACCUAGCUAGUGCUCCUUUUGCCCUCUUCCCUAAUGAGCAGCCUCACCAGUACCCAUUUGCUUCUCUGAUACCUCUAAAGGUUAAUAAUCCUCAAGACAGACCAGACAGGCCCAGCAUCAAAAUACAUCAACUGUGUACAGUACUACAUCUAUCUCUAUCUAUCUGUCUGUCUGUCUGUCUGUCUGUCUGGUCUGUCUGUCUAUCUAAUCUAUCUGUCUGUCUAUCUAUCUAUCUGUCUAUCUAUCUAUCUUUCUUUCUUUCUUUCUUUUAUAUUUUCUGGAAGGGUUAUGGUGAACUUUAAUAUUUUUC